UCCACAUCACAGCCCACCUUAAGCGUCCUCGCUCAGAAGGGAAUCUCUCUAAGACAAUAAAACAGUGCAGGAUCUGUCUCUGAAGAUCAAAAUCCACUCGUAUGUGGGGCAUGAAAAGUGGACGUUUUGUUUAUCAUUGUAUGCUCCUGCCAUUAAGUUAGGUUAGGUUAAAUUAGAACCAAUUUAGGAUUAGGUUGAGACAGUGUGUGUGUGUGUGUGUGGCAGAAUCUACACGUAUCGGGGCAUUACCUGAGUUCAUUGUUCCUCACUUACCGGUCAUGGUGGUCAAGAGCCAACUUCCCGCACGUCAUGUCCACGUACGCGUGUAUUUUGCUUUUUUAACACGACGCCAGAGUACCUGAUGCUUAAUGCAAUGUUAUUGUCUGGCGGCCAUGACACAGGGUAGCAAGCGAUAGUCCAUUACUUUUACCUGGUGACCAUAAGAGAAUCGCUCUCUCUCUCUCUCUCUCUCUCUCUCUCUCUCUCUCUCUCUCUCUCUCUCUGUACACGUGUGCGUGUGUGUGUGUGUGUGUGUGUGUAAACAGAAGACAUCCCCCGCUAGUAGAAGUAACCAGCGGUCAGUUGAUGAAAAUAUCCUUCAUAUAAAGGAAGGUCAUGACACAAUAGGCAUGAAUGAGCUAUAGUAUACAAGAGGUUCCCUGUAGAGGAGAUUGUGUAGCGAGGAGGUAAAUGACGUUCUCAGAGGCCUCUCGAAUCACUCUCCUGAAGGUUUUUUUCUCGACACCGCCUGCCAGAGUUCCACAAAUAAGGUGUGACGUCAAACUCUCGCUCUCUUCCCUUUGUCAUGGCUGGACAGUUUAAUUGUCAACAAAUAUUUUAUUCGGCAGUCUAAAAAGCCACAGUUUCAUUAAUACAGGUUAUAAGAGGAGUGCCGAGCUGGAGUGUUUGUUGAUGGUGGCGGUGGUGUAGGUGGUAGUGCAGGUGGUAGUAUAAGUGUUGGUGCAGGUGGUGGUAGGGAUGGAGUCGGUCGUAAUGCAGGUGGUGGCAGAGAAGAUGGAAGCAGAGAAGAUGGUAGCAGAGAAGGUGGAAGCAGAGAAGGUGGUGGCACAAGUAGUUCCCGAUUUAACAGUAAUAUCUAUAUUAUAUAACAACUCUAUAUCAUAAUAAUCAACAUUUAUUUUUCUAUUUGACCUUCCUCUUGUACAUACCUUUUAUAUAUCAGCUAACAGUAAGUGUCACUUCUCCAGUUAUCCUCCCGUCUUAAACCUGGAGUGGGUGUAAGUGUAUAUGCAUCAUAACAUUACUUCAAAUACAACAUUAUUACAAUUUAAUAAUAUUUUAUUGUUCUAAUAAAUAUUCUAUGAUAUGAA
Molecule: long non-coding RNA, 1331 nt
Organism: Homarus americanus (American lobster)
Lineage: Eukaryota; Metazoa; Arthropoda; Malacostraca; Decapoda; Nephropidae
Exons: 3
Source: RefSeq, a predicted model, not a curated record